ACUCCGUGCGCCUGAAAAAUAAUGCUAUGAAGAAGAAUAAAUAUUAGGGAAAAUUUACUGUGUUUGAAGAAUACUCUGCCGGAGCCACUCGAAAUCUGAAAAUGUGAAAGUUAAUUCAAUAGAGGUAUGGUUUUAUUGCUGGCAAAUGGU
Caenorhabditis elegans is the source of this 150-nucleotide non-coding RNA. The record is from Ensembl. Lineage: Eukaryota; Metazoa; Nematoda; Chromadorea; Rhabditida; Rhabditidae.